RNAcentral lists this ribosomal RNA (2502 nucleotides) under Triticum aestivum (bread wheat). RNAcentral's name for it is "partial small subunit ribosomal RNA". The record is from RNAcentral. Lineage: Eukaryota; Viridiplantae; Streptophyta; Magnoliopsida; Poales; Poaceae.
CUCAUCUCUCGAUCCAUUUCCAUUUCACUCAACAGUCGACACGGCAAUGCCACCACAUAUUUUCGUGGACGCCUUGAGUGCAUGGUUACCAGCGUUACCAGUACGGCGCCAGAAGCCCAUAACGCUCGUCUUUCUUCGACGACAUGGCCGUCUCGCCUCUUGCACUCGUGCUCCUCCUCCUCGCCUUCGCCGUGUCUCUCUUGUACAUCCUCCGUAGGCCCGCCCCUCUGCGCAGCGGCAGCGAUGGAGGACGGAGGCAUCUUCCGCCGUCACCGCGCGGCCUCCCGCUGCUCGGCCACCUACAUCUCCUCGGCUCGUUGCCGCACCGGGCCCUGCGGUCCCUGGCCGCCGCACACGGCCCGGUCCUGCUGCUCCGGCUCGGCCGCGUGCCCGCCGUGGUCGUGUCCUCGCCGGCCGCCGCGGAGGAGGUGAUGAGGGCCCGCGACCUGGCCUUCGCGAGCCGGCCCCGGAGCGCCAUGGCCGACCGGCUCCUCUACGGGCGCGACGUAGCGUUCGCGCCCUACGGCGAGUACUGGCGCCAGGCGCGCCGCGUGUGCGUGGUCCACCUCCUCAGCCCGCUCCGCAUCCUCUCCUUCCGCGGCGUCCGGGAGGAGGAGGCCGCCGCGCUGGUCGAGCGCGUCCGCGGAGCGGCGGCGGGCGGCGCCGCUGUGGACCUGUGUGAGCUCCUCGUCGCCUACGCCAACACGGUGGUCUCGCGCGCCGCGUUCGGGGACGACAGCGCGCGCGGCCUGUAUGAGGAAGGCAACAAGGAACGCGAGCUGAGGAAGGUGUUCAACGACUUCCAGGAGCUGCUCGGCACGGCGCCUCUGGGGGAGCUCCUGCCGUGGCUGGGGUGGUUGGACGCCGUGAGGGGGAUGGAGGGGAAGAUCAGACGGACGUUCAAGGCGCUCGACGGUGUGCUCGAGAAGGUGAUCGGCGACCACCGCCGCCGGCGUCAAGCCGGCCAGCAGACGGGAGAUGACGGCGGCGAUCACAGGGAUUUCGUGGACGUGUUGUUGGACGUGAGCGAUACUGAUGACGAAGCUGGCAUGCGUCUCAGCACGACCGAAAUCAAGGCCAUCAUUUUGGUACAGUACGUGUUUAUUAUGCCGCCGUGCUCGUUGUUAGUGGUUAACAUGUUUCUUGUACGUACGUCGUCGACGCGCAGGACAUGUUCGCGGCGGGCACGGACACGACGAGCACGGCAAUGGAGUGGGCCAUGGCGGAGGUCAUCACGCACCCAGACAGCAUGCGUAAGCUCCAGGACGAGCUCAGGGCGGCCGUCGGUGGCUCCGGGCACGUCAUCACCGAGGACCACAUCGACAAGCUGCACUACCUCAAGGCGGUGGUCAAGGAGACGCUACGCCUGCACCCACCGAUCCCGCUCCUCGUGCCCCGAGAGCCACAAGACGACGCCGAGAUACUCGGCCACCACGUCCCGGCGGGCACGCGGGUGGUCAUCAACGCGUGGGCCGUCGGCCGGGACCCGGCGGCGUGGGAGCGCGCCGAGGAGUUCGUACCGGAGAGGUUUCUCGACGGCGCGGUGGACUACAAGGGGCAGGACUUCCAGCUGAUACCGUUCGGUGCUGGGCGGCGGGGGUGCCCCGGGGUCGGAUUCGCCGCGGCGACCGUUGAGAUGGCGCUGGCGAGUUUGAUGUACCAUUUCGACUGGGAGCCGGCCGGGGCGUCGCUGGACAUGCGCGAGGUGAACGGGCUCGCCGUGCAUCUCAAGUCCGGCCUGCCGCUUGUCGCUAAACUGCGGUUUCGUUAGAUAAACUUGUUGCUAUGCAAGAAGAACAAUAAUCCUACAUCUACGUACAGCAGACGAAGACUAACGUAAACUGCCUAACUAAUUAACUUCGGCCCCCCUGAUUUUCAGGUGGGUGGGGCCCCUUCCUCCCCCUUCUCCAAUACUAAUUAGCCACGUUGCACUUUACGUAAAACACGUAACAUUAUUUACGUAAGUGUAGCAUUGCUCGCAAGAAGAAACUGUGAAAAUCUGUAAAAAUGUAUUGUAGUGUUUGCUUCAAAGCCUAACCGAAUCUUGCAUGGAUCUCAGUAUUGUAGUGUACUGUAGGGUUUCAUGGAGAAUUGAGGUAUAUGAGAGAAUUCAAACUGGAGGCAGAAGGCAAAAGGAGCAAAGAGAAGGUAGGGAGACGACUAAUUUCUUUUCGUUUUUUAGUCUACUGAUUUCAUUUCUUAUGACCCCAUCAGAACAGUGGUUCAACGUAACGUAUAUAUCCUCGACAGUCGACACUCCAGGCCAUGGGCCAAAUGCUCACACACUUGCAUGCGAAUUUUCUUUUAAAAUGUUGACAUCUUUAUAAAAUCUCGAAACUAUAUUUCUCUUUGAAAAAAGGAAAAUUUAUCUCCUCGUCGUUGCCGUCGCGAACGAAGAGUUACCCUUCGAUGCAGUCGUGGAUAAAGAGAUGGUCUUCGGACCAGUUUUUUUGGGCGAUUCUACCAGAUUCGCCCCCCUCCCCAGCUUCUCCCAGAAUCACC